CCUACGGGAGGCAGCAGUGGGGAAUAUUGGGCAAUGGAGGAAACUCUGACCCAGCGACGCCGCGUGAGGGAUGAAGGCCUUCGGGUUGUAAACCUCUUUCAGUAGGGAAGAAGCGAAAGUGGCGGUACCUACAGAAGAAGCACCGGCUAACUAUGUGCCAGCAGCCGCGGUAAUACAUAGGGUGCAAGCGUUGUCCGGAAUUAUUGGGCGUAAAGAGCUCGUGGUGGUUCGAUACGUCGGAUGUGAAAAUCAGGGGCUCAACCCCUGACCUGCAUUCGAUACGGUCGAGCUAGAGUGUGGUAGGGGAGACUGGAAUUCCUGGCGUAGCGGUGGAAUGCGCAGAUAUCAGGAGGAACACCGAUGGCGAAGGCAGGUCUCUGGGCCAUUACUGACACUGAGGAGCGAAAGCGUGGGGAGCGAACAGGAUUAGAUACCCUGGUAGUCCACGCCGUAAACGGUGGGCGCUAGUUGUGCGAACCUUCCACGGUUUGUGCGACGCAGCUAACGCAUUAAGCGCCCCGCCUGGGGAGUACGAUCGCAAGAUUAAAACUCAAAUGAAUUGACGG
This 566-nucleotide ribosomal RNA is filed under the name uncultured bacterium. Its description in RNAcentral is "bacterial SSU rRNA". It matches the Rfam family "Bacterial small subunit ribosomal RNA", at positions 338 to 916 of the family's 1533-position model. The record is from RNAcentral.